Molecule: non-coding RNA, 760 nt
Organism: Paramuricea clavata
Lineage: Eukaryota; Metazoa; Cnidaria; Anthozoa; Malacalcyonacea; Plexauridae
Source: the annotation of a GenBank genome assembly
UCAAUGAUUAAAUAUUUUAAAGGUUAUAUGGCUAUAAAGGAUUUCGGUCAAGUAUGAGAUGAAAUUUAAUAUUUACUUAGACAUAUUAAAUACUCAUUUUCAAAUAUAGUACACAAACAGAGGCCGCCCGUCCCACCGAUUCUGUCACUCGCUGCAGUUAAUUGAUUCUCAUGCAAUUUCCUGAAUAAUCUUACUACUUGUGAGUUGUGUGUCAACGCGUAUUUGACUUGUUAUACUGUACUGUAAAUAUAAUUUAGACAUAGUUAGAAAAUUGCCUAAUUAGUAAAUUGGGGCUUUCUCGAGGUAUGAACAACUGAAUUGUAGUACUGGUUAAUACUUUCAAUGUACCCAUGAUUUCAUUUGUUCAUACUCCUAUAGGAAGUACUGAAUAUAGUCAUGUUUAAUGUUAUUGUUGUUGUGUAUAUAGAGUUUAGGAGGACCAGAUUGGAAAAAAGUUUUAACUUUAUCUGUUUAUCCUCAAUAAAUAAAGUGUUAUUAUUAUUAUUAUUAUUAUUACUACAGUGAGUUUCUUCUUGUAUCGGAGAUCCCAUUUCUCUAAGUGAAAUUCUGUCGUUCUUUUGUACAAACUGUGGCUUUGCUGGUUGUUUGCAAUAUCGAGCCAUCUUUAUUACACCAAAUACCAGCAAGAGAACGCAAACUGUAAGAAAAAACAAUAUAAAUAGCUUGUCCAGUCGUGAACUUUAGCGUGAGCUGAAUCAUAUCUCUUGUUGUAGAAAUUUCCUUUGAUGUAGUAGAAACU